Molecule: ribosomal RNA, 867 nt
Filed under: uncultured bacterium
Lineage: Bacteria
Description: bacterial SSU rRNA
Rfam family: Bacterial small subunit ribosomal RNA
Source: RNAcentral
CGACACGUCUCCGUUGAUGAUUUUAGGUGCUUGCACUUGAAAGAUUUAACAUUGAGACGAGUGGCGAACUGGUGAGUAACACGUGGGUAACCUGCCCUUGAAGUAGGGGAUAACACUUGGAAACAGGUGCUAAUACCGUAUAACAACCAAAACCACCUGGUUUUGGUUUAAAAGACGGCUUCGGCUGUCACUUUAGGAUGGACCCGCGGCGCAUUAGCUUGUUGGUAAGGUAACGGCUUACCAAGGCGAUGAUACGUAGCCGACCUGAGAGGGUAAUCGGCCACAUUGGGACUGAGACACGGCCCAAACUCCUACGGGAGGCAGCAGUAGGGAAUCUUCCACAAUGGACGAAAGUCUGAUGGAGCAACGCCGCGUGAGUGAUGAAGGGUUUCGGCUCGUAAAACUCUGUUGUUGGAGAAGAACAGGUGUCAGAGUAACUGUUGACAUCUUGACGGUAUCCAACCAGAAAGCCACGGCUAACUACGUGCCAGCAGCCGCGGUAAUACGUAGGUGGCAAGCGUUGUCCGGAUUUAUUGGGCGUAAAGCGAGCGCAGGCGGUUUUUUAGGUCUGAUGUGAAAGCCUUCGGCUUAACCGGAGAAGUGCAUCGGAAACCGGGAGACUUGAGUGCAGAAGAGGACAGUGGAACUCCAUGUGUAGCGGUGAAAUGCGUAGAUAUAUGGAAGAACACCAGUGGCGAAGGCGGCUGUCUGGUCUGUAACUGACACUGAGGCUCGAAAGCAUGGGUAGCGAACAGGAUUAGAUACCCUGGUAGUCCAUGCCGUANACGAUGAGUGCUAAGUGUUGGAGGGUUUCCGCCCUUCAGUGCUGCAGCUAACGCAUUAAGCACUCCGCCUGGGGAGUACGAC